RNAcentral lists this ribosomal RNA (486 nucleotides) under uncultured bacterium. Its description in RNAcentral is "partial 16S ribosomal RNA". It matches the Rfam family "Bacterial small subunit ribosomal RNA", at positions 30 to 507 of the family's 1533-position model. The record is from RNAcentral.
AUUGAACGCUGGCGGCAUGCCUUACACAUGCAAGUCGAACGGCAGCACGGGUGCUUGCACCUGGUGGCGAGUGGCGAACGGGUGAGUAAUACAUCGGAACAUGUCCUGUAGUGGGGGAUAGCCCGGCGAAAGCCGGAUUAAUACCGCAUACGAUCUACGGAUGAAAGCGGGGGGCCUUCGGGCCUCGCGCUAUAGGGUUGGCCGAUGGCUGAUUAGCUAGUUGGUGGGGUAAAGGCCUACCAAGGCGACGAUCAGUAGCUGGUCUGAGAGGACGACCAGCCACACUGGGACUGAGACACGGCCCAGACUCCUACGGGAGGCAGCAGUGGGGAAUUUUGGACAAUGGGCGAAAGCCUGAUCCAGCAAUGCCGCGUGUGUGAAGAAGGCCUUCGGGUUGUAAAGCACUUUUGUCCGGAAAGAAAUCCUUGGCUCUAAUACAGUCGGGGGAUGACGGUACCGGAAGAAUAAGCACCGGCUAACUACGUG